GCACGAGACCGAUAGCGAACAAGUACCGUGAGGGAAAGAUGAAAAGAACUUUGAAAAGAGAGUUAAAGAGUACCUGAAACUGUUGAAAGGGAACCGUAUCGUUUCUAGUGUUUAUCCUAUGCAUAUUUCAUUGGCGGUUGCAAAAUUGCUGGUGCCCUGUGUGUAGGUGUGACGUCAGAGUCAGUUUGAAUUGCGGGAGAUGGGUAGUGAGGAGGUGCGUCACUUUUGUGAAAGUUACAGCUCGCUGCCUAGUAGCCGUGGUUGAGACUGAGGUGCCUAC
RNAcentral lists this ribosomal RNA (280 nucleotides) under uncultured Oomycota. RNAcentral describes it as "uncultured Oomycetes partial 28S ribosomal RNA". It matches the Rfam family "Eukaryotic large subunit ribosomal RNA", at positions 326 to 612 of the family's 3401-position model. Lineage: Eukaryota; Oomycota. The record is from RNAcentral.